CGGGAUGUAAUUCAGUGGCCAGAAGCCGUGCUUUGGGAGCAUGGAGUCGCAGGUUCAAAUCCUGCCAUCCCGA
RNAcentral lists this transfer RNA (73 nucleotides) under Nostoc sp. TCL240-02. Its description in RNAcentral is "tRNA-Pro". It matches the Rfam family "tRNA". Rfam says of the family: Transfer RNA (tRNA) molecules are approximately 80 nucleotides in length. Lineage: Bacteria; Bacillati; Cyanobacteriota; Cyanophyceae; Nostocales; Nostocaceae. The record is from RNAcentral.